RNAcentral lists this long non-coding RNA (422 nucleotides) under Panax ginseng (ginseng). RNAcentral describes it as "long non-coding RNA (PGIN_LNC004451)". Lineage: Eukaryota; Viridiplantae; Streptophyta; Magnoliopsida; Apiales; Araliaceae. The record is from RNAcentral.
AAGAGCUAAAAACACUUGGUCAAAAUCAAGACCAACCAAACAGAGAACAAAAUCAAAUCAAACUCCUACGUCUACCCAAUGAUUUACCCACAACUCACAGGUCAAACCUAAAUAGGUUUUCUACAAGAAAGAACCUAAGCUCUGAUACCAUCUCUGUAACACCCCCUUCCCGAAAAGGAAAGGGAGGUCACGUGCAAAGCACAACAAACCUCAAAAUAAGUAAACAGAGCACUAAUAACUUCAAAAUAUUAAUAAUGAUAUCCAUCAAUGAAGUACUAAAUAUAAUUCUCCAACUAGAAUCAAAAUAAUCAAAACCAAAAAUUUAAUCAACCUAGAUGGUCAAGGCAACACUCUCAUCACACUAGCCCUUAAUCACCCCUGCAAACCUGCCGGAAGAAAAACACAGCAUGAGCCAAUUGCCC